Molecule: non-coding RNA, 45 nt
Organism: Schistosoma rodhaini
Lineage: Eukaryota; Metazoa; Platyhelminthes; Trematoda; Strigeidida; Schistosomatidae
Source: Rfam
AUCCAAUCGACGAGUCCCAAAUAGGACGAAAAGCGCGUCUUGAAU